AUGUUUAUGUUUAUGCAUAGCGGGUAGAUAAUUAUUUGCAUGAGAUGUAGAUAAUUAAAUGAAAGAGACCUAAAUUAAAUCUCCUCGAAAAUAUUAAGUCUAGCGGUCUUCCACCGUAGUAGAGCUGCUAAGGUCAUUCCGGCAUUGAUUUGUCUCGGCUGGAUACAGUGGGCAAGUUGCAUCGGGGGACUGGACCUCUCUAUUAGGCAUGAGAUGUUGUAGGGGUAAAGAUGGGGUUGGGCCCAAUAACUGUUAGGUGAGGGACUCAAUGACGGCUUUGCUUCUGCGGUUAUACGGUGGGUCCGACUUAACUAAAGAAUGGGGCCAAUAAUUGUUAGGUGAGGUCUUCAUUACUUAGAGACCGGAUAGCGCUACAACUUGCUUGAGAAGCAUUGUACAAGAGUUGUACACUCAUCGUUUAUUUGUCACCAAUAACUGUUAGGUGAGGUGGUAUGUAAAUUGGUGGGACCGUAGCACCCCACUUGAAACCUAGAGUCGCAAGGUUUCCGUUUCUCUACCAGAGGAGUGUGAGAGAUUCGAGGAAAUAGUGGAGGUAUAUUUAUUUUAAAAGGCUCUAAAAUAAAUAGAGAUCAAGUACAAAAUUCUAAUUAGAAUCUUUACUCUCUGAGGAUUAGAAAUUCAGCUUCUAGACUCUUAACUCAUAUCCUAUAGAACAACCGUUUGACCAAACCCAAUUAUAAAGACUGGCUCAGCAAAUUUCA
RNAcentral lists this long non-coding RNA (722 nucleotides) under Phoenix dactylifera (date palm). Its description in RNAcentral is "long non-coding RNA (PDAC_LNC012584)". Lineage: Eukaryota; Viridiplantae; Streptophyta; Magnoliopsida; Arecales; Arecaceae. The record is from RNAcentral.